GACGAACGCUGGCGGCGUGCCUAAUACAUGCAAGUAGAACGCACAGUUUAUACCGUAGCUUGCUACACCAUAGGCUGUGAGUUGCGAACGGGUGAGUAACGCGUAGGUAACCUGCCUGGUAGCGGGGGAUAACUAUUGGAAACGAUAGCUAAUACCGCAUAAUAUUAAUUAUUGCAUGAUAAUUGAUUGAAAGAUGCAACUGCAUCACUACCAGAUGGACCUGCGUUGUAUUAGCUAGUAGGUGAGGUAACGGCUCACCUAGGCGACGAUACAUAGCCGACCGGCGAGGGUGAUCGGCCACACUGGGACGGAGACACGGCCCAGACUCCUACGGGAGGCAGCAGUAGGGAAUCGUCGGCAAUGGACGAAAGUCUGACCGAGCAACGCCGCGUGAGUGAAGAAGGUUUUCGGAUCGUAAAGCUCUGUUGUAAGAGAAGAACGGGUGUGAGAGUGGAAAGUUCACACUGUGACGGUAUCUUACCAGAAAGGGACGGCUAACUACGUG
Molecule: ribosomal RNA, 505 nt
Filed under: uncultured bacterium
Lineage: Bacteria
Description: partial 16S ribosomal RNA
Rfam family: Bacterial small subunit ribosomal RNA
Source: RNAcentral